Molecule: ribosomal RNA, 492 nt
Filed under: uncultured Cytophagaceae bacterium
Lineage: Bacteria; Pseudomonadati; Bacteroidota; Cytophagia; Cytophagales; Cytophagaceae
Description: bacterial SSU rRNA
Rfam family: Bacterial small subunit ribosomal RNA
Source: RNAcentral
AGAGUUUGAUCCUGGCUCAGGAUGAACGCUAGCGGCAGGCCUAAUACAUGCAAGUCGAACGGUGGCAGCAAUGUCAUAGUGGCGCACGGGUGCGUAACACGUAACUAACCUACCUAUAACUGGGGGAUAGCCCGCCGAAAGGCGGAUUAAUACCGCAUAAGCUGCUUGGGUGGCAUCACCUGAAUAGUAAAGAUUUAUUGGUUAUAGAUGGGGUUGCGGGUCAUUAGCUAGUUGGUAAGGUAACGGCUUACCAAGGCGACGAUGACUAGGGGAGCUGAGAGGCUGGUCCCCCACACGGGCACUGAGAUACGGGCCCGACUCCUACGGGAGGCAGCAGUAGGGAAUAUUGGGCAAUGGGCGAGAGCCUGACCCAGCCAUGCCGCGUGCAGGAAGAAGGCUUUCUGAGUCGUAAACUGCUUUUGACAGGGAAGAAUAAGCACUACGUGUAGUGCGAUGACGGUACCUGCAGAAUAAGCACCGGCUAACUCCGUG